UAGCGGAGGAAAAGAAACCAACAGGGAUUGCCCCAGUAACGGCGAGUGAAGCGGCAACAGCUCAAAUUUGAAAUCUGGCCCCUAGGGUCCGAGUUGUAAUUUGUAGAGGAUGCUUUUGGUGAGGUGCCGCCCGAGUUCCCUGGAACGGGACGCCGCAGAGGGUGAGAGCCCCGUCUGGCUGGCCACCGAGCCUCUGUAAAGCUCCUUCGACGAGUCGAGUAGUUUGGGAAUGCUGCUCAAAAUGGGAGGUAUAUGUCUUCUAAAGCUAAAUAUUGGCCAGAGACCGAUAGCGCACAAGUAGAGUGAUCGAAAGAUGAAAAGCACCUUGAAAAGAGGGUUAAACAGUACGUGAAAUUGUUGAAAGGGAAGCGCUUGUGACCAGACUUGGGCGCGGCGGAUCAUCCGGGGUUCUCCCCGGUGCACUUCGCCGUGUUCAGGCCAGCAUCAGUUCGGCGCGGGGGAAAAAGGCUUCGGGAACGUGGCUCCUCCGGGAGUGUUAUAGCCCGUUGCAUAAUACCCUGCGCUGGACUGAGGACCGCGCAUCUGCAAGGAUGCUGGCGUAAUGGUCACCAGCGACCCGUCUUGAAACACGGACCAAGGAGUCGUCUUCGUAUGCGAGUGUUCGGGUGUCAAACCCCUACGCGUAAUGAAAGUGAACGCAGGUGAGAGCUUCGGCGCAUCAUCGACCGAUCCUGAUGUUCUCGGAUGGAUUUGAGUAAGAGCAUACGGGGCCGGACCCGAAAGAAGGUGAACUAUGCCUGUAUAGGGUGAAGCCAGAGGAAACUCUGGUGGAGGCUCGCAGCGGUUCUGACGUGCAAAUCGAUCGUCAAAUAUGGGCAUGGGGGCGAAAGACUAAUCGAACCUCCUUUAUU
Molecule: ribosomal RNA, 872 nt
Filed under: Trichoderma atroviride
Lineage: Eukaryota; Fungi; Ascomycota; Sordariomycetes; Hypocreales; Hypocreaceae
Description: partial large subunit ribosomal RNA
Rfam family: Eukaryotic large subunit ribosomal RNA
Source: RNAcentral